Molecule: long non-coding RNA, 357 nt
Organism: Saccostrea cuccullata (small rock oyster)
Lineage: Eukaryota; Metazoa; Mollusca; Bivalvia; Ostreida; Ostreidae
Exons: 5
Source: RefSeq, a predicted model, not a curated record
GGGUUUCGGGCGGCCAUGGCGAAUUUUCGGCAGGAUUUUACCCCAGUGAAAAAGGCUUGUAAUCCACAGUGAUCAGCUAAGAUGUUGUUUCACUGGAUUAUUUAAUUGGGCAUAUAAUUGGAUAAUUCUGGAUCAGCUGAGAUGUUAUUUCACUGGAUUAUUUAAUGGAUAGACUUAUUGGGCAUAUAUUUGGAUAUCUCUGUCCUCAACCUGGAAGAUAUGUUUUGUUCCUAACCAUCUAUAAUCCAUUCUCUAUGAAGUUCAGACUGUCUGCUCUUCCUUUGGAAAUACACAGUUAGUCAACCAACAUAGAAACACACAAACUUGAAGGAUUCUCUAGUGAGGGCUUAUGGAAAU